GGUUAAGUUAAUAAGGGCGCACGGUGGAUGCCUUGGCACUAGAAGCCGAAGAAGGACGUGACAAACGACGAAAUGCUUUGGGGAGCUGUAAGUAAGCGCUGAUCCAGAGAUGUCCGAAUGGGGGAACCCACUAACUAAUGGUUAGUAUCCAUAACUGUUAAGGUUAUGAGAAGGAAGACGCAGUGAACUGAAACAUCUAAGUAGCUGCAGGAAGAGAAAGCAAACGCGAUUGCCUUAGUAGCGGCGAGCGAAACGGCAGGAGGGCAAACCGAAGUGUUUACACUUCGGGGUUGUAGGACUGCGACGUGGGACUUUAAAAGGAUAGAAGAAUUACCUGGGAAGGUAAGCCAAAGAGAGUAAAAGCCUCGUAUUUAAAAUUCUUUUGAGCCCUAGCAGUAUCCUGAGUACGGCGAGACACGUGAAAUCUCGUUGGAAUCUGGGAGGACCAUCUCCCAACCCUAAAUACUCUCUAGUGACCGAUAGUGAACCAGUACCGUGAGGGAAAGGUGAAAAGCACCCCGGGAGGGGAGUGAAAUAGAACCUGAAACCGUGUGCCUACAACAAGUUCGAGCCCGUUAAUGGGUGAGAGCGUGCCUUUUGUAGAAUGAACCGGCGAGUUACGAUAUGAUGCGAGGUUAAGUUGAAGAGACGGAGCCGUAGGGAAACCGAGUCUUAAUAGGGCGAUUUAGUAUCAUGUUGUAGACCCGAAACCAUGUGACCUACCCAUGAGCAGGUUGAAGGUGAGGUAAAACUCACUGGAGGACCGAACCAGGGCACGUUGAAAAGUGCUUGGAUGACUUGUGGGUAGCGGAGAAAUUCCAAACGAACUUGGAGAUAGCUGGUUCUCUCCGAAAUAGCUUUAGGGCUAGCGUCGAUGUUAAGUCUCUUGGAGGUAGAGCACUGUUUGGGUGAGGGGUCCAUCUCGGAUUACCAAUCUCAGAUAAACUCCGAAUGCCAACGAGAUAUCAUCGGCAGUCAGACUGCGAGUGCUAAGAUCCGUAGUCGAAAGGGAAACAGCCCAGACCACCAGCUAAGGUCCCAAAAUAACUGUUAAGUGGAAAAGGAUGUGGGGUUGCACAGACAACUAGGAUGUUAGCUUAGAAGCAGCUAUUCAUUCAAAGAGUGCGUAAUAGCUCACUAGUCGAGUGACCCUGCGCCGAAAAUGUACCGGGGCUAAAACAGUUUACCGAAGCUGUGGAUGACACAAAAGUGUCAUGGUAGGAGAGCGUUCUAUGUGUGAAGAAGGUGUACCGUGAGGAGCGCUGGAACGCAUAGAAGUGAGAAUGCCGGUAUGAGUAGCGAAAGACAGGUGAGAAUCCUGUCCACCGUAAGACUAAGGUUUCCAGGGGAAGGCUCGUCCGCCCUGGGUUAGUCGGGACCUAAGGAGAGACCGAAAGGUGUAUCCGAUGGCCAACAGGUUGAUAUUCCUGUACUAGAGUAUAUAGUGAUGGAGGGACGCAGUAGGCUAACUAAACCGGACGAUUGGAAGAGUCCGGCUAAGCAGUGAGGUGUAAGAUGAGUCAAAUGCUUAUCUUUAUAACAUUGAGCUGUGAUGGGGAGCGAAUUUUAGUAGCGAAGUUAGUGAUGUCACACUGCCAAGAAAAGCUUCUAGCGUUUAAUGAUACUCUACCCGUACCGCAAACCGACACAGGUAGUCGAGGCGAGUAGCCUCAGGUGAUCGAGAGAACUCUCGUUAAGGAACUCGGCAAAAUGACCCCGUAACUUCGGGAGAAGGGGUGCUGACUUAGGUCAGCCGCAGUGAAUAGGCCCAAGCAACUGUUUAUCAAAAACACAGCUCUCUGCUAAAUCGUAAGAUGAUGUAUAGGGGGUGACGCCUGCCCGGUGCUGGAAGGUUAAGAGGAGGGUUUAGCGCAAGCGAAGAUCUGAAUUGAAGCCCCAGUAAACGGCGGCCGUAACUAUAACGGUCCUAAGGUAGCGAAAUUCCUUGUCGGGUAAGUUCCGACCC
This 1966-nucleotide ribosomal RNA is filed under the name Streptococcus pyogenes. RNAcentral's name for it is "partial 23S ribosomal RNA". It matches the Rfam family "Bacterial large subunit ribosomal RNA", at positions 1 to 1989 of the family's 2925-position model. Lineage: Bacteria; Bacillati; Bacillota; Bacilli; Lactobacillales; Streptococcaceae. The record is from RNAcentral.